This 253-nucleotide ribosomal RNA is filed under the name uncultured bacterium. RNAcentral's name for it is "partial 16S ribosomal RNA". It matches the Rfam family "Bacterial small subunit ribosomal RNA", at positions 524 to 776 of the family's 1533-position model. The record is from RNAcentral.
UACAUGGGGUGCAAACGUUGCUCGGAAUUACUGGGCGUAAAGCGCACGUAGGCGGAUCGAUCAGUCAGGGGUGAAAUCCCAGGGCUCAACCCUGGAACUGCCUUUGAUACUGUCGAUCUGGAGUAUGGAAGAGGUGAGUGGAAUUCCGAGUGUAGAGGUGAAAUUCGUAGAUAUUCGGAGGAACACCAGUGGCGAAGGCGGCUCACUGGUCCAUUACUGACGCUGAGGUGCGAAAGCCAGGGGAGCGAACGGG